GACGAACGCUGGCGGCGUGCUUAACACAUGCAAGUCGAACGGAAAGGCCCUGCUUUUGUGGGGUGCUCGAGUGGCGAACGGGUGAGUAACACGUGAGUAACCUGCCCUUGACUUUGGGACAACUUCAGGAAACUGGGGCUAAUACCGGAUAGGAGCUCCUGCUGCAUGGUGGGGGUUGGAAAGUUUCGGCGGUUGGGGAUGGACUCGCGGCUUAUCAGCUUGUUGGUGGGGUAGUGGCUUACCAAGGCUUUGACGGGUAGCCGGCCUGAGAGGGUGACCGGCCACAUUGGGACUGAGAUACGGCCCAGACUCCUACGGGAGGCAGCAGUGGGGAAUAUUGCACAAUGGGCGGAAGCCCGAUGCAGCAACGCCGCGUGCGGGAUGACGGCCUUCGGGUUGUAAACCGCUUUCGCCUGUGACGAAGCGUGAGUGAUGGUAAUGGGUAAAGAAGCACCGGCUAACUACGUG
Molecule: ribosomal RNA, 468 nt
Filed under: uncultured bacterium
Lineage: Bacteria
Description: partial 16S ribosomal RNA
Rfam family: Bacterial small subunit ribosomal RNA
Source: RNAcentral